UCGAGGAUCAUUCGCAAUGAGCGAAAGCUUGACGAUGCGACGCUGUGUGAGCGAUGAAGGCCUUCGGGUUGUAAAGCUCUUUCGCAUGGGAACAAGAGAAGCUAGUGAAUAACUAGCUAAUUUGAGGGUACUAUGUAAAGAAGCACCGGCUAACUCCGUGCCAGCAGCUGCGGUAAUACGGAGGGUGCAAGCAUUAAUCGGAUUUAUUGGGCGUAAAGGGCGCGUAGGCGGAUCUGUAAGUCAGAUGUGAAAUUCCAAAGCUCAACUUUGGAGCUGCAUUUGAAACUACAAGUCUUGAGGGAUGGCGGAGAAAACGGAAUUCCACGUGUAGCGGUGAAAUGCGUAGAUAUGUGGAAGAACACCGGUGGCGAAAGCGGUUUUCUAGCUUUUUCCUGACGCUGAGGCGCGAGAGCAAGGGGAGCAAACAGGAUUAGAUACCCCCGUAGUCC
RNAcentral lists this ribosomal RNA (449 nucleotides) under uncultured bacterium. Its description in RNAcentral is "bacterial SSU rRNA". It matches the Rfam family "Bacterial small subunit ribosomal RNA", at positions 355 to 796 of the family's 1533-position model. The record is from RNAcentral.